AGGAUUAACGCUGGCGGCGUGCCUGACACAUGCAAGUCGAACGAGGCCGCAAGGCCGAGUGGCGGACGGGUGAGUAACACGUGACCAACCAACCUCGAAGUUGGGAAUAGCUCUGCGAAAGUAGGGGUAAUACCGAAUGUGGCCCAGGGCGGGCAUCCGCCUUGGUCUAAAGAUUCAUCGCUUCGAGACGGGGUCGCGGCCUAUUAGCUUGUUGGUGAGGUAACGGCUCACCAAGGCGAUGAUGGGUAGCUGGUCUGAGAGGACGACCAGCCACACUGGGACUGAGACACGGCCCAGACUCCUACGGGAGGCAGCAGUGAGGAAUCUUCCGCAAUGGGCGAAAAGCCUGACGGAGCAACGCCGCGUGUGGGAUGAAGACUCUAGGGUUGUAAACCACUGUCGGAGGGGACGAAUCGUGACGGUACCCUCCAAGGAAAGCCCCGGCUAACUACGCGCCAGCAGCCGC
RNAcentral lists this ribosomal RNA (466 nucleotides) under uncultured bacterium. RNAcentral's name for it is "SSU rRNA". It matches the Rfam family "Bacterial small subunit ribosomal RNA", at positions 26 to 518 of the family's 1533-position model. The record is from RNAcentral.